AGAGAACACAGCGAAGUGUAAGAAGCUAGGAAAGUUCUACAAAACAACAUGGAAUUGGGGGUGGGGGAGGGGGAGGCUGCUUCUCAUGGCCCUCUGCAGGCCUGGGAAGGUCAUAUGUGUCCCCGGGGGCAUGCACUGGCUGCUCUCCCAGUUUGAGAGGCACCUCCAGGCGUGUGGGAGACAGCGUCACUUGGCUGGGCGCAGUGGUACCGAGGGAGGCUCUCAGUCCAGGAAUUACAGGGCAAGGAACAGCAGUGUGCGUCAAGUGACUAGAACUGGCUUCGCACCGCAUGCCUCCACAACAGCUGGCAGAGAGCUGUGUUCGGUUUAUUCACAGAAUUGACCCAAACGCCUUUUUCCCUAGAAUACAUUCGCCUCUUGAUGGAGCUGUUCUUAGAAUGUGGGAGGCUGCAGAUUCCUCUGAGAAUCCGCGGAGCCACAUACCCUCGGCCCCCCGGCCCCUGCUGGCUCAGAACUGGCAUUGUGUUGGAACGGACCUUAAUGCUGACCCGCAGAUCUGGACCUGCGACACCGGUGCUGCUGUGGGCUCCGUGUGGGACCUGUGCACUGACAGUGGCUACAGGACAAAUAUCGACGCGCUGUAUGUGACACCAGGCAAAUACUCCUUUCUGGAAACCAAAUUUCCUUUCUUUUUAACGGUCCCUUCCAUUGGUCCCGCCUGCCCCCAUGAGUCUUACUCACACCUCAAUCACUUCCUACCCGGGCUGUGGAUGGUUUUUGUUUCGUGACGGGUCUCAAAUGAAGUCUCUAGCCACGGAGAGCCAAACAGACAUCCGAAAGAUUGAUUCUAGGCACCGGGAAACAACACAUGAGUCAUCCAGUUUGCUCACUUGUGAGACACGGGGAAGGAUUAAAACCCACAUCACAUCUGGGUCCCCAAGGCUUUGUCAUCCCAGUGGGUGCCCGGUCCAAGCCUGGAGUCAGCUUCACCUGCUGCACACGCCUUCCCUUCCUGGGUAGGCUGCUGAGUGACCGUCUCUAAGCCACCAGCCAGGGAAGACCACCAUGGACAGGCCCUUGGGGACAGCGCCUGGGCUGUCCACCUCCCACGAGCUCUAAGGCCCAGCUGCGGGAGCAUCCGUGAAGCCACCGCCAAGGACGCCCUAACCUCCGGGCUCCCUAGCCGGAGAGGACCCCGUUUCACUCUGCAGGAGCUACCUGUUUGCUAGCAUACCCUGUUUCUCUCCUGUUCCAGAACAUCCCCCAGCAGGGGCCCGGCCGUGAGUCUGCUCCCCGCGAGCAGAAGUGCAGAGCAAGAACGCAGUCCACAUCCAUCACGCACACGAAGGGCUCUCACCCCGCUGGGCUCGUGGGACCAUCCUGUCCGCCCAGCACUGGGAGCUGACCAAGUGUUGGGUGGUCCCUGGGAAGCACCCCCUCCCCUGUGUCUAGCAGAAAACAAAUUGACAUGUGGCGUCACUUCCGUUGGGGGCCUUAAGAAGCGGACUUGACCUGUCCAGUCUUCCUUCUACCCCUCAAGCUGGAGAAAGGGCAGGCAAGGGGCGGGGGUUGGUGGAGACGCCAGGAAUGAUGGAGGCCCCAUGGUGGCACCUGGAAGAGAGUCAGUCGCCUGGAGGCCAGGAGGGGGGCCUGGGAGGACAGCCUUGGGCUGCAGCUGUCCAGGGAGGCCGGAGGCUCAGCCUCUUACCUGGGAGGGGCCAUUUGUCCAGGCAGCUUUUUGUUGCACUUCCUCUACCCUCUGGAGCUGCUUGCUUCCUGCAGAGAGCC
Oryctolagus cuniculus (rabbit) is the source of this 1749-nucleotide long non-coding RNA. NCBI's taxonomy places the organism in Eukaryota, Metazoa, Chordata, Mammalia, Lagomorpha, Leporidae. The record is from Ensembl.